UAUGAAGGGUGCAAGCGUUACUCGGAAUUACUGGGCGUAAAGCGCACGUAGGCGGAUUUGUAAGUCAGGGGUGAAAUCCCGAGGCUCAACCUCGGAACUGCCUUUGAUACUGCGAAUCUCGAGUCCGGAAGAGGUGAGUGGAAUUCCUAGUGUAGAGGUGAAAUUCGUAGAUAUUAGGAAGAACACCAGUGGCGAAGGCGGCUCACUGGUCCGGUACUGACGCUGAGGUGCGAAAGCGUGAGGAGCAAACAGG
RNAcentral lists this ribosomal RNA (253 nucleotides) under uncultured bacterium. RNAcentral's name for it is "partial 16S ribosomal RNA". It matches the Rfam family "Bacterial small subunit ribosomal RNA", at positions 524 to 776 of the family's 1533-position model. The record is from RNAcentral.